This is a long non-coding RNA of Gallus gallus (chicken), 7807 nucleotides long. RefSeq lists it as uncharacterized. The record is from RefSeq and is a predicted model, not a curated record. The transcript has 11 exons. NCBI's taxonomy places the organism in Eukaryota, Metazoa, Chordata, Aves, Galliformes, Phasianidae.
CGGGUCGGGGGCGGGGCCGCGUGCUGAGCCGCAUGCCGAGCAGCGUGCGGCGGCCGCGGACCUCCCGGAAGCGCCGCUUGGGGGCGCCCCGCGAGCGGCGUCGGCGGCACUUGUCCUUUUACGGCGAGUCCCGGCGCCCCAGCGGGCGUCCACCGCUCCUCGGCACCAGCGCCGGGCGGAGGAGCGCGGGGCGGCCGGAUCGUCAUCUAGGCCGGGAGCACGGCGCGGCCGAGGCACGCGACCAGGCGUCGGCCGCUCUGGAAGCAGCUUAGGAGCGAGCCCCAGCGCGAGGAUAACGGUGUCGGCACGCGGCAGCCCCCGGGGCACGAGCCGCAGCGGGUCUGCUGCCUCUCUCCCCUCGUGGCAGCAGCGCCCCUCCCCUCCCCCCAGCACGCGGCACGUGGGGACCGCGCUUAAGCCCCGACAGCUCUCCCCGCACAGCCCGAACAGCCACGGAGAGAAAGUCGGGGGGUCGGGACCCUCUGUGCCCGCAUCCGGGGAGCUUUGAGUGGAAUGAGUUACACCGAGCUGCGGCUGAGGAGCGGGCUGUUUUUAGUGAACAGAAUGAGUAACUGCUCCGGCCAGGAAUGUCCCGUGUAACGAGAUUUCAGGUCAAGAUGAGGUCACAUUUGAAAGCUGUAAGAGAACCUCAGAACUAUUUUUACAUUAAGCGGAGAAAUUGAGGCAAAAAUCCAGAACCAUCAAAGUGAAAAAGAACAUCCCGCAUUUAUCUCUUAUUUCUUUCAAAGAAAUAAAGAGGACAAAAAGCAGCAUUCCCAGUGAAAAGACGUCUUCAUACACUGCCUCUGUCAGCAAUGAAUCAAAGAGUAGAAGAUCUUUAGCAGUGGAGGCUGAAAGAGGCUUGGCUGAGUGACUACUGAAAGGAUACCUGAGAGAGUAUUGGAAAUCUGUGUCAAAAUCCAUCUCUUUGGCUGACCUUUGGGAAGGCUCCGUUGAUGUGUUCUGACUUUGUAGCCUUGAAGAUAAUGCAACGUGGCCCCAGUGACCCCUUUGUUUUAGAAGAAAGCGAAGUUGGAUAGAGUGAUAAACAAUUGGAACUGUUUAGUUGGCAGCCAUCCUGGCAAAGAAGCCUGUCAGUGCCUAUGUAUAAUUUCCAUGGAAAUAAAUAAGAGGCAUUGCUUUCAGAGUGACACACUGAAACAGCUCUCCAUUGCUACCAGUAGAGAGGAACUUAUGCCCUAUGUUGCAGAAAGCACUCGGUAACACCAGGAUUCAACUGUUUCUCCUGCAGAACGGUAUGGUUUCUGAUGCUGCUUCUUGUUGGAAUCUUGUGUCAGGGUUGAAGGGAGGUUUCUGUCACUCACGGCCUGCUGUCCUUCUGUGUCAGAGGAAACCCAGUGUAAUGAGACAUGCUGCUAAGAAGGUUCUGGAGGAGGCUAGAGCACUCUUACCUGCAAUACCUGAGGAAUGUGCUUUUGUAGAACACUCAAAACGUACUUAUGAUUCUUCGGGCACAUAAGGCUGGACAGUCCAUUCACAGAUGGCCUUGAAGUCUUCAGCUUCUCUUGGUUGUCCUUCACAUUCUCUGAGUUUUUACUUAUUAGGCAGAAAAAGUGUUUCAUGGAGAUUCAUAGAAUGGCUUGUGUUGGAAGGGACCUCAAGGAUCAUCAAGCUCCAGUCCCCCUGCCGCAUGCAGGGCCACCAACCUCCAUAUCUAAUACUAGACAUAUAGACUUAUACAUACAGACUACACUAAGUAAUCUAUUAGAGCUUGAGAUAAUGGAAAGUCAUUUGGAAACUGGGAUCAAAUGAGAAAGUUGCACUUGGGCAAUGCAUAAUGUGUACAUGCUAAAGAUUGGUCAAGAUGAAUACUCUCAUCCAGAAGUCCUGUAGAUACAUCUUCACAAUGGGAAGUAUUCCACUGAAGCUACCUGUCCAUAUUAACAUGGCACAGAAUCCACAAAUGCUUCACUCCACUUCUCAGGCAAGCAGUGGAAGAAUUCUUGUAUCUUUCAUCUGUUGCUGCAAAGUGGUGCACAAGUCAAAAUCACAAUUGAAAAGUUAACAGUUGAUCAACCUUACUAUAAGCCUACUGAUACAAGAUCUGCAGAAAGGAAGGACUGGAUUAUUUGGGGGAAGAAAGCAAAAACAUUCAGAUCCUACAUCCAGAAGAAUUGCUGUUAAUGUUUACAGGUUUCAUGUAUGUUCUUUUGCCUGAGCUGUGCUUUGGGGUGCAUUGGCUCUUUUCUCUGGAGUAAAACAUGAAAAAUCUUCCUUUCUUUGGUGAUCUCCAGAGCUUUUUAAAGGUACGGUAGAACAAUAGUACUCUCACAGUAGUUUUAAUGGGACAGAAGUGUUGCUGUGUUGUCUUACAGAUUUUAUCAAAUUGUGCUUAGAAUUCAUUCAUUUUGAUCACUCAUAUUAUAGACAAAAUUCUUCUUGUAGGAUGUUUAUAUGUCCCAGAGCAUUCAUAAUGCACUGUGUUCAGCCAUCUACAAGCAUUUAAUUACAGACCGUCUGUUUCAUGUAAAAAAUAUUUGCCAAGACUCUUUUGGCAGAGUAAGGAGUGAACUUCGUAAAGGAAAACCAAGUUGCUCAUCGGUGGUGGCAGCAAAAAUGAGGAAAAGAACUACCCAAGAGUUUCUUGAAGAUUCCAGUUGAUGGAUCCUGGCCUGAUUGGGUCUCUUAUAUAAACCUUGAUGGAAUGGUGCUAAAUUUUGCAUGGAAACCUUUAUUUUUUUCCCCACUUCAACAACUGUAGCUGAAUGUACAUUUAAAAAUGGUAUUUGAAAAUUAAACUCAUAAGACAUCAUUAUACAAGACAUAAGCACAAACUUAGUACAGAAAGGGAGAAAGCAUCCAGUCUUUGAAAAUAAUGUUUGUGCCUUGUGCUUUUUUAAAACAUAAACAUAGAUUAUCAGCACACUACUAAAGUGAGGCUGCAUCUCACCUUCCACAGUCUCACAGCAUAAAAAUAGCAUAUUUGAACUUACCAGAAGAUUGAUGUUUCUUUGCUUUCGUAUUACUUUUUCCUUUGUAUUUUAUGAAAAUGUAUGCCUUGCUGUCCAAUGUUGAAAAUAUCCACUGAGGUGAUUUUAAAGUUAAACCUGAAGAUUCAAGUUGGAAGUUACUGAAGGAUGAGUUUGGGUUUUUUCAAAGUGCUAUUAUUUUGACUCCUUGAGGGCUCCACAUGAAUACUUUACCUCUCCUUUUCUUUCUUUGGUUUGAGAUUCAUAACUGCAGCUGCUGUGCAAAGUAAAGUUUCCAUUGAGGACUAGCUGACCAAAUUUGUCAUGCUGAAAGUGAAAGUUGUAUCAGAAAGAGUGGGGUUUCCUUCAGUGCAGCAAGUCUGAGUACUGGAGCAGGUUCUAUUUCAGUCAUCCCUCCACUUCAGCAUAUAUCAACAGAUGGAAUCAGUGCAUCUUUUCUGUUGUACUUCAGCCUCCUACUCACUGACCACAGCAGGGACUAUGUCACGUCAUUGAGCACCAAGAGACACUGGAGAGAGGGAGUCCAACUGCCCACAGAGGCCCUGAGGUGCCUGGAGGAGGGAAACACCCCAGGGUAUCUCAUCUUCCUCCUCCACCCUCCUCCCAAAGCCAAAUGCCCAGAAUGUGCUGAGCUGAACUGAAACCCUGCCCUGUGGCCUUGGGGAGCAGUCAGCUAUGUGGCUGUAGACACCAUAUGCUGAGGGAGCACCACCUUCCUGCUUUCACUGGCAGAAGUGAGUUUCCCUUAAAAACCAGCAAAUUAUGCAGUUUCACACCUGACUCUUCAGUUGAGCAGGUGGAAAUGUCCUUUUCUGGGCCUCAACAGUAAAGGAGCCAAAGGCCAGGGGUCAGCUAUUAAGUUCAGCUGUUCCCUAUUGCAGGUUCAACUCAUGCUCCCUGGCCUGGCUGUGCUCUGAGGCACCUUGAGGCACUUGUGCCUUUGCGGUAUGAGCUCAUUUGUUGUCAUUUCCACUUUGGGGUGGGAAAAAAGGUCAUAAGAAGAGAUCAGUAAAUGUGCAGCAUUCAUAAAGCAAGGCCGCUUCAAAACAGACACGUUGCAGUGUUAUCAUAUCCAGGAAAACAGCAACAGACAGCGUAACUUUAAAAUACCACCCAGAAACUCUUGCUUGGAAAGGACAACUCACAGCAUCAAAGCCUGGACGUACUUGCCAAACCAUGCUUUAACUUACUGCCAAGACACCAGAUUUAUCCCCUUAGUAGCAAUGAUGCGCUAGGCAAGAUGGUGAUUGCUACAGCAAAGUGGGGAUGGGUUUGUUUCACAGUGGUCACGAUGACAGAAGGAGCCCUGCAGAUAUUAAUACUUGAUGAGAAAGGUACAUGAAAUUAGCCUGUGAACUGUUUGUGGAUAAAUAUCUCUCAAGCAUACAAUAAGAAUUCAAGCAAAUUAAUUUAACAGCUAGAAGUCAAAUGUAAUGAAAAAAUAUUUAUGAAAAUUUUGUAUGUUUAGGUGAAUAGUUUCAAACCAAAAAUAAAUGAGAAAUAAAUACAGCCUAGUAGAAAUUGGACUGUGUUUAGAUUCUGAUAAUCUGAAAGGGCAUUUUUUAGCAUAAGGAUAAGUUCAGGUGAUUAUUUAAAGAAUAAGAUCAGAAUGGCUGUUCUUGACUUUAAUUUGGAGCCAAAAUAUUCUAUGUAAAGAACUUGUAAAAUCCAUGUCCCCUUUAGUUCUACAGUCAGUAAUUACUCACAGGAUAGAGUAUUCAGAUUUAUGAGGAAGAAGGAGAGAGUGGCAGUAAGUUGUUACUUCUAUUUCCAGCCAAUGUUUGCAAAUUCAAUGGCAAUAACAAACCAAAAACCUGACUUUCUCCCUUCAAACCGCUCUAUAUCUGUGGUCAAAAAUGUAUAGCUAUGUUUUACAUCUUUUUUAGCACAUAAACAUUUAAGGAUACUUACCUCAACCACACGACAAUUUUCUGAGCCUUGCAAGUCUUACAAAUCCCUAAUCACAGUUGGAUGUAUUCAGUAAUGUAGAAUUAAGGAGUAACAGCUGAAAUGCACCUGGGUUAGGUGGCUACUGAGGUUAUAUGGUGUCGAAAUAAUAAGGUGUGGGUCUGGUUAGAGAGGGACCAGGCAUCUGUUCCCACCUCAGCUACAACUUCCCAUACUAGUACUCAUAUUGAGUACUGAGUAUUAUAGUACUGAGGAUUAUAGCACUAGUGAUUGUGCUAUAACAGUGAUUGUGAUUACUGAGGUAAUCUAAACAGAGAACUUUGCUUCUCUGGAAGUGGAGAAUAACUACUGUAUUUUAGUGACAUGCUGAUGGAACCUCAGUUUGGAUGUCCAAAGAUGUAGUUCCUGGCUGAUGCAUAUACAAGUAAAUUGUUACUGACUUAAUUUUGUCUUAAUGGGAUUCUUUUGUUGACAAGGUAAAUUUGUGACUUCUGAGCCGAGAAUUGUCUUUAGCUGGUGACAGCUUUCAUUUAGAGCAAGCAUUAUACUUAUUACCAUGACAGAGGCCCUUAAACAGGAAGAUGGAUAAAUUCUACUAGCAAGGAAUGGUAGCUGGCCUCUUGAUAACAUAUGGCAUAGCAUUGAACAACUUCCUGGAAACCUUAGCAGUGCAGAGGUUUGAAAGAACUGGACUGGCCUGCAGUUCAUAAACAUCAUAGGCUGAAUAAGCUGCUUCUAACUGCAUCAGAAACUUUUGCUCAUAUAUUUAGACUUUGCUUCUAGAACUAAAAGUGCUAAAAAGUGGCAAGACUAAAAAGGCAGCACAGCAAUAAAAAUUCCAUUUUGACUCUGGGGAGAGCCUCAGAGAUGUUGUGGUCAGAAUUUUCUCCAUUAUUUGCAAGUUCUCAAAGAAGAAUUUUCUUCAUUCUGGAUUAGCUUUUUGCAAAAUCUAUUAAGACUUUUAAUUUCAUUUAAAAAUAUUCUUAUGUUUUGAAACUUAGUCUGCAGGAAGUUUAACCAGACCUUAAUUAAGGACUCUGAGUGUGACAGAAGCUUGUGUAUCAACAAGGUGCUUUGCUUGUCUGCCCAAUAAAAAUACAAGGAGUAAUGCCUGUUUGGGGAGUAAGCAGAGCAGAAGCGAAGCAGGGAGGGGGGCACAAAUUAUGAGCUGCUUUGGUCUCCAUUGUCAGGAAGUACUUCACCACUUCCAUUGCCUCACUACAUCUCUUCUAUUAGAAAGCCUUUAUAAAUUACAGGAAUAAGUGGCCCUUAGCAAAUAACUUCAAAACAGAGCAACUAAAUAGGACUGAAGGAGAAUGGGAAACUCCAUUCUGCUACUGCUAAAGCAUAGUUCUGAGCUGCUGGCAUUUUUUCCCCCUCUCAGCUCAGGAUGAAAGACAAAAAUGUUAAUAAUUUCCACAAAUUGAAAAUCUGAAAAAUGUGAGCUGAGGUCAGCUGGAACAUUUCGUUUCUAUAAUUUUGUAAUAUCUUUUGACAAUGCUGAUCUGUCUUUAAUCAUUUUAUGCCUAAAUUUGCUAAGAUUUCAAAAUUUUAAGAAGUUCCAGCUUGAAGGAAACAAAAGCUUUCUAACUCAAAAUGUUGAAGAAAGACUAUAUUUUAAUGUUUUCAAAAAAUAAAUAAAUCAAGGAGCAAUAGGAAAUUGAGCCUUUUCUUAGCCAUUAGUCUGAGUCAUAACACAGAUCGGUAACAAAUGCUGUGUAUUUCAGUAGGAGAGCACUCCAGUGACUAACUUUUUUUCCUAUCCGGUUGACUGCAGUGACAUUUGGGUCAGGCCUACUAAGAUGGUUCUCCUAACUGUGCCAGUGCCAGAAAAAUGCUUGCAUGCUGAUAAGUCAAUGGAACAUCAAAGAGAAAUAUUCAUUUUUGUAGUCAAGAACAAGAUAUUUGAUGGUGGAACUAAUCCCUUGGCAAUAAAAAAUUUCCUUUACAGUCAAUUCUAUGAUUAAGCCAAAGCCACUUCUUUGUUCCUCCACCUGUCCCCGUGAGUCAGCAACGCUUUCCUCUUGCUUUUCCUCCAAGUCAGAUGACAGUGCCUCUCCUGGGCUGCAGACGCACAAGUGUUUUGCCUACAGUUAUGACUUGUUUAGCUUUUGCAGUGUUGGCAGCCUCUCUGAGCUCUGGCACACUUUCUUCCAAAUGGGAGAGUCUGGAGGGGGCAGUUUAUUUCUCAUACUGAUCGUGGUUUUGUUACUCUAAAAAUCAGGAGUUUGAAAAUCUCAUCACAACCAUUCGUAAUUUGCUUAGAACUGUAACAAAAAUGCUAAGUUUCAUCCUUAAAAGAGAAGUACUGAAAUGUUUAAGAUUUAAUCCCAUGGGAUUCUAAAAUAUAUAUAAUAGUAAUAGUAUAAUAGACAUCUUUGGGCCAAAUUAGCUCAUUGCGUUUAUCCCUUACCUGCAACUCUGAUGGGCACAAAGACAUGUCCACUUGGUAGUGUUGUACAUGUGAGUUACGCUGUUGUAACAUCUCUCUGAAAAGAGAUUCUUUUUUUGCAAGGACACCUUUGAAAUUCCAUCUCGUCAGUGUGUAAAGUUAUAACAGGAGCAAGAUGUUGUCCUCAAGUACCAGGCUGAGAGAUUAAUUCAAAUUUUGUUGCACUUUUGCUCUGAGUUAAGGUCAAUUGCAUGAAUGAACUUAAUAUUUAGUUUCCAUACAGGCAGAUCUAUAAUUCACUAUAUAUGCUUUAGCAUAUAUCAUAACUACAUUUUGCCUCUGAUUCUCUAUACUGAGGUAAGUAUUUGGUGGCAUUUGCCAGAUGUUCUUCCGAAGCCAAUGUGAAUAUCAACAACAUGAAGUAAGAGGUGCCACCUGUACCAGUGUCAUGCCAGGCCAGGCAGUGUGCUUCCCACCUAAUCACAGAGAGAAAGAAUCUGUGUGACUCAGAGCAGGCAAAGGAAAAUAAAUGUCAGACCUCUGGACUGAGAGCUCA